This 253-nucleotide ribosomal RNA is filed under the name uncultured bacterium. Its description in RNAcentral is "partial 16S ribosomal RNA". It matches the Rfam family "Bacterial small subunit ribosomal RNA", at positions 524 to 776 of the family's 1533-position model. The record is from RNAcentral.
UACAGAGGUCUCAAGCGUUGUUCGGAUUCAUUGGGCGUAAAGGGUGCGUAGGCGGCUAGGUAGGUCCGUUGUGAAAACUCGAGGCUCAACCUCGAGACGCCGGUGGAAACCAUCUAGCUAGAGUCCGGAAGAGGAGAGUGGAAUUCCUGGUGUAGCGGUGAAAUGCGCAGAUAUCAGGAAGAACACCCGUGGCGAAAGCGGCUCUCUGGGACGUGACUGACGCUGAGACGCGAAAGCGUGGGGAGCGAACAGG